AGAGUUUGAUCAUGGCUCAGGACGAACGCUGGCGGCGUGCUUAACACAUGCAAGUCGAACGGUGACGGAGGAGCUUGCUCCUCCUGAUCAGUGGCGAACGGGUGAGUAACACGUGAGCAACCUACCCUCGACUCUGGGAUAACUUCGAGAAAUCGGAGCUAAUACCGGAUACGAGACGCGCAGGCAUCUGCAGCGUCUGGAAAGAUUUAUCGGUCGGGGAUGGGCUCGCGGCCUAUCAGCUAGUUGGUGAGGUAACGGCUCACCAAGGCGACGACGGGUAGCCGGCCUGAGAGGGCGACCGGCCACACUGGGACUGAGACACGGCCCAGACUCCUACGGGAGGCAGCAGUGGGGAAUAUUGCACAAUGGGCGAAAGCCUGAUGCAGCGACGCCGCGUGGGGGAUGAAGGCCUUCGGGUUGUAAACCCCUUUCAGCAGGGAAGAAGCGAAAGUGACGGUACCUGCAGAAGAAGCGCCGGCUAACUACGUGCCAGCAGCCGCGGUAAUACGUAGGGCGCAAGCGUUGUCCGGAAUUAUUGGGCGUAAAGAGCUCGUAGGCGGUUUGUCGCGUCUGCUGUGAAAACCCGAGGCUCAACCUCGGGCCUGCAGUGGGUACGAGCAGACUAGAGUGCGGUAGGGGAGACUGGAAUUCCUGGUGUAGCGGUGGAAUGCGCAGAUAUCAGGAGGAACACCGAUGGCGAAGGCAGGUCUCUGGGCCGCAACUGACGCUGAGGAGCGAAAGCAUGGGGAGCGAACAGGAUUAGAUACCCUGGUAGUCCAUGCCGUAAACGUUGGGCACUAGGUGUGGGGCUCAUUCCACGAGUUCCGUGCCGCAGCUAACGCAUUAAGUGCCCCGCCUGGGGAGUACGGCCGCAAGGCUAAAACUCAAAGGAAUUGACGG
Molecule: ribosomal RNA, 900 nt
Filed under: uncultured bacterium
Lineage: Bacteria
Description: bacterial SSU rRNA
Rfam family: Bacterial small subunit ribosomal RNA
Source: RNAcentral